UACGUAGGGUGCAGGCGUUAAUCGGAAUUACUGGGCGUAAAGCGUGCGCAGGCGGUGGUGCAAGACAGAUGUGAAAUCCCCGGGCUCAACCUGGGAACUGCAUUUGUGACUGCACGGCUGGAGUGCGGCAGAGGGGGAUGGAAUUCCGCGUGUAGCAGUGAAAUGCGUAGAUAUGCGGAGGAACACCGAUGGCGAAGGCAAUCCCCUGGGCCUGCACUGACGCUCAUGCACGAAAGCGUGGGGAGCAAACAGG
Molecule: ribosomal RNA, 253 nt
Filed under: uncultured bacterium
Lineage: Bacteria
Description: partial 16S ribosomal RNA
Rfam family: Bacterial small subunit ribosomal RNA
Source: RNAcentral